UAAGUAGAACAAAUGAUCGCGGCUGCAUAAAAGGAACUGUCAUUCCUUUGCAGCUGAGGAAAGUCCGGGCUUCACAGGGCAGGAUGCCGGAUAACGUCCGGUGGAGGCGACUCCAAGGCUAGUGCAACAGAAAUAUACCGCCGGUAUUUUGGCUUAGCCAAAGUAUCUGGAAGAAUUGCAAGGCGAUUCUUCCGAUGGUCUGCCAGCAGACCAUCUGGUCAGGGUGGAAAGGCAGUGUAAGAGACUACCGUCCCUUUGGUAACAAAGGGAGCCAUGUAAACCCCAUCCGAAGCAAGUCCGAAAAGAAAGCGUUAAUGCCGGCCCGGCAGGCUUUCAGGUGGGACGCUGGAGGCUGCUGGCAACAGCAGUCCAAGAUAGAUGAUCAUUCGAUGGUUUUUACCAUCCGACAUAACCCGGCUUAUCGUUCUGCUUAAAUU
RNAcentral lists this RNase P RNA (437 nucleotides) under Lachnospiraceae bacterium. RNAcentral's name for it is "RNase P RNA component class A". It matches the Rfam family "Bacterial RNase P class A". Rfam says of the family: Ribonuclease P (RNase P) is a ubiquitous endoribonuclease, found in archaea, bacteria and eukarya as well as chloroplasts and mitochondria. The record is from RNAcentral. Lineage: Bacteria; Bacillati; Bacillota; Clostridia; Lachnospirales; Lachnospiraceae.